GUGGUCACAAGCAUUUUAAGCAGCACAUAUACUAAAAUUGGAACGAUACAGAGAAGAUUAGCAUGGCCCUUACCCAAGGAUGAAA
This is a small nuclear RNA of Macaca nemestrina (pig-tailed macaque), 85 nucleotides long. NCBI's taxonomy places the organism in Eukaryota, Metazoa, Chordata, Mammalia, Primates, Cercopithecidae. The record is from Ensembl.